This 234-nucleotide long non-coding RNA is filed under the name Homo sapiens (human). RNAcentral describes it as "non-protein coding lnc-TAL1-1:1". The record is from RNAcentral. Lineage: Eukaryota; Metazoa; Chordata; Mammalia; Primates; Hominidae.
CGCUCAGGACCGGGCCUCAAAAUGGCCACACGCGUACCCCCGUAGCGGAAAAAAUCGCCCAGGACCACACCGCAGCGUAACUGCAGGCCUCUCAGCGAAAAAGGGGGAAAGCAAAGACCCGGGUGUGCAUCCUCUUCCUCGGCUUCCGCCCCUUUCCGGCGGAGUGGAGAUCCUAUUCAGAGGGGCCGGUCUCUCUAAAUAUGCCCCACGGGUUCUUUGGGGAGCCGGAUGCCU